AGUUCAGCAGCGCCACCUGGCUCAGCAGCAACGAACUGCAGAACACUCCAAGAUCAUCAGCAGAUAUUUAUUAACCAGAACUAUUAAAAACCAAAGGAGGGAUGUUGAUUCCUGUCUGCCCUGCUGUUGAUGUAGAAUAGCUUUCCUGGUCCCUGCUAGCAGAUCUGCCCCCUCUCUCUACUACAGAUCUUCCUGUCUACUGAUGUCACUUGUUUGCAGGCUAUUUGAAGGGAAGCAAGCAUCGAGAGGACAGCUAGAACACAAAUAGGAUUUGUAUGAUAUCCUUGUCUGCUGAUAAUAUAGAAGGGAAGGGGGACUUGAGCCAAGCUCAACUUUGGCUUUGCUCACUAAACUUGAGAUAACGUAGGGAACAUUUUGGAAAUAAAGUGCCUUGUGACAAAAAUUUUAAAGAAUAUCCUUACAUAAAAUAACAAGGGCUAAGGGAUAGAAUUUUCUACACCCAUAUGUUAUACUUGUAGUCCAGUGAAAGAAGACCAAGAAUGGAUGGACAAGAAGAACAAGAAAGUCAUACAGUUGUAGUUGCCAAGGACAUGUUCAAGCGUUUUGUGUGUUUUAAUCAAGUCAGUAAUAAGACUAUGAGGAUAUAUCUUGAAAGAUAUUAAAACAAUGAAUGGAACAGUGUUAUGCCUGUUACCCAACCAUCUUGUAAAGAGAAGAUGGAACACUGAAUGAGAAAUGAUUUCAUCCAUCUAUUAGUAAUUGAAUAGAUGGAAGUUUUAGAACUUUAUCACCAUCAUGUAGGAGAAAUGGUGGAAUUAAUGUUCAGAUUAAUUUCUUUUGUCCGUCUUGUAUGUGAAAAGGUGGACAAGUACCUAUUU
Long non-coding RNA from Branchiostoma belcheri (Belcher's lancelet), 839 nucleotides. RefSeq lists it as uncharacterized. Lineage: Eukaryota; Metazoa; Chordata; Leptocardii; Amphioxiformes; Branchiostomatidae. The record is from RefSeq and is a predicted model, not a curated record. The transcript has 3 exons.